GGGACUAUAGCUCAGUUGGUUAGAGCAGUCGACUCAUAAUCGAUUGGUCGUAGGUUCAAGUCCUACUAGUCCCA
RNAcentral lists this transfer RNA (74 nucleotides) under hydrothermal vent metagenome. Its description in RNAcentral is "tRNA-Met-CAT". It matches the Rfam family "tRNA". From Rfam's summary of the family: Transfer RNA (tRNA) molecules are approximately 80 nucleotides in length. Their secondary structure includes four short double-helical elements and three loops (D, anti-codon, and T loops). The record is from RNAcentral.